This 2211-nucleotide ribosomal RNA is filed under the name Escherichia coli. RNAcentral's name for it is "bacterial LSU rRNA". It matches the Rfam family "Bacterial large subunit ribosomal RNA", at positions 1 to 2228 of the family's 2925-position model. The record is from RNAcentral. Lineage: Bacteria; Pseudomonadati; Pseudomonadota; Gammaproteobacteria; Enterobacterales; Enterobacteriaceae.
GGGUUGUGAGGUUAAGCGACUAAGCGUACACGGUGGAUGCCCUGGCAGUCAGAGGCGAUGAAGGACGUGCUAAUCUGCGAUAAGCGUCGGUAAGGUGAUAUGAACCGUUAUAACCGGCGAUUUCCGAAUGGGGAAACCCAGUGUGAUUCGUCACACUAUCAUUAACUGAAUCCAUAGGUUAAUGAGGCGAACCGGGGGAACUGAAACAUCUAAGUACCCCGAGGAAAAGAAAUCAACCGAGAUUCCCCCAGUAGCGGCGAGCGAACGGGGAGCAGCCCAGAGCCUGAAUCAGUGUGUGUGUUAGUGGAAGCGUCUGGAAAGGCGCGCGAUACAGGGUGACAGCCCCGUACACAAAAAUGCACAUGCUGUGAGCUCGAUGAGUAGGGCGGGACACGUGGUAUCCUGUCUGAAUAUGGGGGGACCAUCCUCCAAGGCUAAAUACUCCUGACUGACCGAUAGUGAACCAGUACCGUGAGGGAAAGGCGAAAAGAACCCCGGCGAGGGGAGUGAAAAAGAACCUGAAACCGUGUACGUACAAGCAGUGGGAGCACGCUUAGGCGUGUGACUGCGUACCUUUUGUAUAAUGGGUCAGCGACUUAUAUUCUGUAGCAAGGUUAACCGAAUAGGGGAGCCGAAGGGAAACCGAGUCUUAACUGGGCGUUAAGUUGCAGGGUAUAGACCCGAAACCCGGUGAUCUAGCCAUGGGCAGGUUGAAGGUUGGGUAACACUAACUGGAGGACCGAACCGACUAAUGUUGAAAAAUUAGCGGAUGACUUGUGGCUGGGGGUGAAAGGCCAAUCAAACCGGGAGAUAGCUGGUUCUCCCCGAAAGCUAUUUAGGUAGCGCCUCGUGAAUUCAUCUCCGGGGGUAGAGCACUGUUUCGGCAAGGGGGUCAUCCCGACUUACCAACCCGAUGCAAACUGCGAAUACCGGAGAAUGUUAUCACGGGAGACACACGGCGGGUGCUAACGUCCGUCGUGAAGAGGGAAACAACCCAGACCGCCAGCUAAGGUCCCAAAGUCAUGGUUAAGUGGGAAACGAUGUGGGAAGGCCCAGACAGCCAGGAUGUUGGCUUAGAAGCAGCCAUCAUUUAAAGAAAGCGUAAUAGCUCACUGGUCGAGUCGGCCUGCGCGGAAGAUGUAACGGGGCUAAACCAUGCACCGAAGCUGCGGCAGCGACGCUUAUGCGUUGUUGGGUAGGGGAGCGUUCUGUAAGCCUGCGAAGGUGUGCUGUGAGGCAUGCUGGAGGUAUCAGAAGUGCGAAUGCUGACAUAAGUAACGAUAAAGCGGGUGAAAAGCCCGCUCGCCGGAAGACCAAGGGUUCCUGUCCAACGUUAAUCGGGGCAGGGUGAGUCGACCCCUAAGGCGAGGCCGAAAGGCGUAGUCGAUGGGAAACAGGUUAAUAUUCCUGUACUUGGUGUUACUGCGAAGGGGGGACGGAGAAGGCUAUGUUGGCCGGGCGACGGUUGUCCCGGUUUAAGCGUGUAGGCUGGUUUUCCAGGCAAAUCCGGAAAAUCAAGGCUGAGGCGUGAUGACGAGGCACUACGGUGCUGAAGCAACAAAUGCCCUGCUUCCAGGAAAAGCCUCUAAGCAUCAGGUAACAUCAAAUCGUACCCCAAACCGACACAGGUGGUCAGGUAGAGAAUACCAAGGCGCUUGAGAGAACUCGGGUGAAGGAACUAGGCAAAAUGGUGCCGUAACUUCGGGAGAAGGCACGCUGAUAUGUAGGUGAAGUCCCUCGCGGAUGGAGCUGAAAUCAGUCGAAGAUACCAGCUGGCUGCAACUGUUUAUUAAAAACACAGCACUGUGCAAACACGAAAGUGGACGUAUACGGUGUGACGCCUGCCCGGUGCCGGAAGGUUAAUUGAUGGGGUCAGCGCAAGCGAAGCUCUUGAUCGAAGCCCCGGUAAACGGCGGCCGUAACUAUAACGGUCCUAAGGUAGCGAAAUUCCUUGUCGGGUAAGUUCCGACCUGCACGAAUGGCGUAAUGAUGGCCAGGCUGUCUCCACCCGAGACUCAGUGAAAUUGAACUCGCUGUGAAGAUGCAGUGUACCCGCGGCAAGACGGAAAGACCCCGUGAACCUUUACUAUAGCUUGACACUGAACAUUGAGCCUUGAUGUGUAGGAUAGGUGGGAGGCUUUGAAGUGUGGACGCCAGUCUGCAUGGAGCCGACCUUGAAAUACCACCCUUUAAUGUUUGAUGUUCUAACGU